CCCCACACCUAGCCUUUUGCUUGUCCUCAAGCAAAUAAACUUAGUCAAACAAGCUCUCUUUACUACUUGAUCCUUUAUUUCUACUUAAGCUCUUACUCUAGAUCCCUACUUUGAAGUAUUGCAGUGAAGAAUGUAUGCACCAAGGUUACUCACCUUCUUUCCUUGCCUCCCUUUACCUUCCAUGGCUAGUAUUUAUUUUCCUCAAGAGAGAGAUUAUACAUGCACAUAUUCUUGUUCAGUUAAGACU
This 247-nucleotide long non-coding RNA is filed under the name Manihot esculenta (cassava). RNAcentral's name for it is "long non-coding RNA (MESC_LNC003483)". The record is from RNAcentral. Lineage: Eukaryota; Viridiplantae; Streptophyta; Magnoliopsida; Malpighiales; Euphorbiaceae.